AGGGUGAGUGCAUUAGUGUACACAAAGAUGAUGCAUUGCAUUUAUCCUUGUACUUGGCACUGCUCCUUGUACAUUGCUUAUGUGAGACGGCACGGACUUCGUGAGGAUUCAUUAGCCCUCAGAGGAAAGACCUGGAACAGCCCUACGGGGACCAGGCACAUAUAUAAAGACCUAGAACAGCCCUACGGGGACCAGGCACAUGGUACUUAGGUACCCCAGAUGAGAUAGAGGGAGUUUUGAUCCGUCCGGCCGAGGUGAUGUGAUUCUGUGUUGCAUUCCAUGAGAGCAUGUUUUAUC
RNAcentral lists this long non-coding RNA (297 nucleotides) under Manihot esculenta (cassava). RNAcentral describes it as "long non-coding RNA (MESC_LNC001500)". Lineage: Eukaryota; Viridiplantae; Streptophyta; Magnoliopsida; Malpighiales; Euphorbiaceae. The record is from RNAcentral.